This 435-nucleotide ribosomal RNA is filed under the name uncultured archaeon. RNAcentral's name for it is "bacterial SSU rRNA". It matches the Rfam family "Archaeal small subunit ribosomal RNA", at positions 24 to 460 of the family's 1478-position model. The record is from RNAcentral.
GACCCUGACUGCUAUCGGAUGAUAUUAAGCCAUGCGAGUCAUUGUAGCAAUACAAGGCAUACGGCUCAGUAACGCGUAGUCAACCUAACCUAUGGACGGGAAUAACCUCGGGAAACUGAGAAUAAUGCCCGAUAGAACAUUAUGCCUGGAAUGGUUUAUGUUCCAAAUGAUUUAUCGCCGUAGGAUGGGACUGCGGCCUAUCAGUUUGUUGGUGAGGUAAUGGCCCACCAAGACUAUUACAGGUACGGGCUCUGAGAGGAGUAGCCCGGAGAUGGGUACUGAGACACGGACCCAGGCCCUAUGGGGCGCAGCAGGCGAGAAAACUUUGCAAUGUGCGAAAGCACGACAAGGUUAAUCCGAGUGGUUUCUGCUAAAGAAACCUUUUGUCAGUCCUAGAAACACUGAUGAAUAAGGGGUGGGCUAGUUCUGGUGUCU